CCCCCGCCCUCCCCCCGCCCCGCUCCCUCUCCAGCCCCACCGAAGAGGAGGCGCCGGACGCGCUGCUGCUGCUGCUGCUCCGGGGACGCUCGCGCGCGCCUGGACUCCUCUGCCUCUUCUUCUUCUUCUUCCUCCUCUUCUUCUUCCUCCUCCUCCUCCUCCUCUUCUCUUCCUCCUCUUGUUCUUCUUUUUCCUCUUCUUCUUUCUCCUCGCCUCGCGCUGCCCACGUUGCUCCUGCCAGCCCAGCCCAGCGCGGCAGCCGAGCGGAGCCCUGCCGGAGCGCGGAGCGAGCCAUGCGCGCCUGCCCCUUCCUCCUCCUCCUGCUGCUGCCGCUCCUGCUCAGCCUCGGGCGCAUCGCCGCUGUCCGGGACGCAGCGGGCGCGGGGCCGGAGCGCCGCCCAGAUGAUAGCGUUUCUCAAGUGCAAAAGCUGAGAGAAGAACCAUCUAAAGUCCGGGAUCUACAAGUGAAGUUCAUUGUUCGUAUCACCCCAGGCCUGGAUGAUGCUGACUGCUACAUCACGGCUGGUCAAGACCACCUCCUAGAUGACUGCAACUUCAAUGUCUCCGCAAAGACUUUCUUUGUUAUUCAUGGAUGGACAAUGGGGGGCAUGUAUGAAAGAUGGCUGGACACCCUGGUCUCAGCUCUGCAGGAACGUGAGAAGGAAGCCAACGUGGUGGUGGUGAACUGGCUGGCUCUGGCCCAGCAACUCUACACCAUCGCCGUCAACAAUACGAGGGUGGUUGGAAAAGAACUUGCAGGCCUGCUGGACUGGUUAGAGGAGAAGAAGGACUUCCAACUCAAGAACGUCCAUCUGAUUGGCUACAGUCUCGGGGCCCACAUCGCUGGCUACACUGGAAACUAUGCCCGGGGGAUUAUUGGAAGAAUUACAGGCUUGGAUCCAGCUGGGCCGAUGUUUGAGGGAGCCGAUCCAAGCAGACGUCUCUCCCCUGAUGAUGCUGAUUUUGUGGAUGUCCUGCACACGUACACGAGAGAAACGUUGGGCAUCAGCAUCGGGAUCCAGAUGCCCGUGGGUCACAUUGACAUUUACCCCAAUGGAGGAGACAUCCAGCCAGGAUGUGGGCUUACGGAUAUCUUGGGAACGCUGGCUUUAGGCGAGAUCGGAGACCUUGUGAUCUGUGAACACGAGCGGUCCGUGCACCUCUUUGUGGACUCCCUGGUGAACAAGGACAAGCAGAGUUUUGCCUUCCAGUGCACGGAUUCCGGGCGCUUCAAGAAGGGCAUCUGCCUGAGCUGCCGGAAGAAUCGCUGCAACAGCAUCGGAUACAACAUCAAGAAGAUGCGGAACAAGCGCAACAGCAAGAUGUACCUCAAGACAAGGGCCGACAUGCCUUUCAAAGUUUUCCACUAUCAGCUGAAGAUCCACGUCUUCAGUUACAAGAGCCUGGGAGAAACGGAACCGUCUUUUUCUGUGACUUUCUAUGGAACCAGCGGCGAUUCGGAACCUCUGCCUCUGGAAGUAUCCGAUCAGAUCGGCCUCAACUAUACAAACACCUUCCUGGUUUACACAGAAGAAGACGUGGGUGAUAUCCUAAGGAUCAAACUCACUUGGGAAAGCACCACCCAGUCCUGGUACAACUUUUGGAGCCAAAUGAAAAAUUACUGGUCCAAGCCUGAUCCCUCGUCCAAAGAACUGCAGAUCAGACGGAUCCGCGUGAAGUCGGGAGAAACGCAGAAGAAGCUUGUGUUUUGUGCAGAAGACCCUGGGAAGACCGACGUAUCUCCCGGCCAAGAACUCUGGUUUGUAAAAUGCCGAGAAGGGUGGCAAAAAUGGAACAGAACAAUACCAGGAUCAAACUGGCAUUGAAGUGUCCUCCUUGGGAAGCCGCCUAGAUCCAUCAGGGACCAACCCAGCUGGAAAAAGCAUUUGCUGUGACGAAAGACAAGAGGCCAAAACGUGUUUCUGCAGACUUUUUCCUCCGGCUUCCUCACUUGUCAGCACUUGCAAGAGCUUGUAGUUUAAAGAUGAAUCUGCGGGGUGGCUAAAAACUGUCUCAGCGUGGAUGAUAACUCAGAGAACUUUUUAUAUUUAUGGCUUCUACUUUUUUAAAGAAUUAUUUAUUGGGAGGGGAUAAACCCACCUGUUACUAAACUGGCCUCUUUUCAGAGACCCUUCCUGGUUUUGCCUAUGCCAUCUUGCCUUGGUCAAUGUUGGGGGUCUUUAAUGCCUCUUUUACAAGCCCAGUCGAAACAGGUUGCACGUUAUUGCAACCCCACAAUUGAUGUGAAUGCAGACAGAGCCAGUCACAUGAUAUAGGGCACUGUGGGGUCCUUGGUUCUCUCUGAGUUUGGUAGCUUGUUUUUUUGGGGGGGGGGGCAGACAUUUCAUUACCCAACUAGGUAAUGUCAUCAUGAGUACUAGAAGUGGGAUUUUUCCUUCUGUUUAUGUGCUAAUAUAGCUGGCCCUUUCAAUGUUGGUGGGAAUAUUCUUUGUGGUUUCUUAUCUAGGCCAUUUACUUCAGCUUGUUCUUUGAUUGGGGUCUUGUUUACUUGCUGCUUCUUGGUUGAGAAACACUGGUCUAGGAUUAAUGUUGGUGUUAAUCUCUAGUAAUCUGGGUGUUGAUUGUUGGUGGGGAGAUGUUGUGGUCUCCUAACAAUGACAGAGCAAGCCACAGUUCAACCCUAAGCUAGAAACGCUGUCUUCUAUUGAUAGAGCACGGUUUCUCAACCUUUGCAAAAUUAAGAUGUGUGGACUUCAGCUCCCAGAAUUCCCCAUCUUAACGUUGCCGAGGAUGAGAAAUGGAUCGAUGGAUCUAUUCAGUGCAUAUUUCAAAAAUGAUCGGGGAAGAAGUAUAUUCCCCUACUUAUCACUCAAAAAAUUUGAGCUUGGUGUUUUUUCUUGCAGAUGUUUCAUUACCCAUCUAGGUAACACCAUCAGUGCUAGAAAGGAGUGGGGUGUGCUCUUGUUUUUAUGUAUUAGUGGCUUGCCUCAUCAAUGUCGGUGGGAUGUUUUGGGGAGUUCCUUGAUUAGGUUGUUGUUUACAGUUACUUGUUUGUCUGCAUUGGUAGUUCCUGGAUUGAAAAACGAAUGUUUUCAGAAAUCUGCUUAUUAAAGUCAAUGCAACUUUAUAAGUAGGGUGCCCCCUCCCCUCCCUUCCAGGUCCAUUUGGAAACCAGAAAAAAAAUAGGGCUGCUUUAGUGAAAAAUGGAGAGAUUGGAAACGCUUCUUCCAAAUAAUGUUCUAAGUAUGCACAAUCCUAAUCCCUUCGUGGGAGGAAAGAAUAUUUUUCUCCUUCAACAUGACAGUUCUUAGAUUCUCCACUUGCCUGACCAAAGCAUUGUACUCAAAAUUAUCUGUUGUUAAUCAAGUCAAUACCUCCCUGUUUCUGGUGUUUUUCCUUUUCUAAAGUAUUAGAAGGAAAAUCAUUUUAUUCUAUAACUCUGCAGCAACGUUUCAUCUGCCUCUCUAACAAAUCUUUUUUUUUAAAAUGAGAGCAAAGCAUACUUUUGAGUGAAGUGAAGUCUGGUUUAAUAAAAGAGGACCCAGAAGAAAAUGUACAGCUUCUGUUCAGGGUUCCAUGACUUUUGAAAAAA
Molecule: RNA transcript, 3553 nt
Organism: Crotalus tigris (Tiger rattlesnake)
Lineage: Eukaryota; Metazoa; Chordata; Lepidosauria; Squamata; Viperidae
Gene: LIPG
Gene name: lipase G, endothelial type
Exons: 11
Source: RefSeq, a predicted model, not a curated record